RNAcentral lists this ribosomal RNA (439 nucleotides) under uncultured bacterium. RNAcentral describes it as "partial 16S ribosomal RNA". It matches the Rfam family "Bacterial small subunit ribosomal RNA", at positions 339 to 795 of the family's 1533-position model. The record is from RNAcentral.
CUACGGGUGGCUGCAGUGGGGAAUAUUGGACAAUGGGCGCAAGCCUGAUCUAGCCAUGCCGCGUGAGUGACGAAGGCCUUAGGGUCGUAAAGCUCUUUCGCUGGGGAAGAUAAUGACGGUACCCAGUAAAGAAACCCCGGCUAACUCCGUGCCAGCAGCCGCGGUAAUACGGAGGGGGUUAGCGUUGUUCGGAAUUACUGGGCGUAAAGCGCGCGUAGGCGGAUCAGAAAGUUGGGGGUGAAAUCCCGGGGCUCAACCCCGGAACUGCCUUCAAAACUCCUGGUCUUGAGCUCGAGAGAGGUGAGUGGAAUUCCGAGUGUAGAGGUGAAAUUCGUAGAUAUUCGGAGGAACACCAGUGGCGAAGGCGGCUCACUGGCUCGAUACUGACGCUGAGGUGCGAAAGCGUGGGGAGCAAACAGGAUUAGAUACCCGAGUAGUC